RNAcentral lists this ribosomal RNA (433 nucleotides) under uncultured bacterium. RNAcentral describes it as "partial 16S ribosomal RNA". It matches the Rfam family "Bacterial small subunit ribosomal RNA", at positions 29 to 507 of the family's 1533-position model. The record is from RNAcentral.
AACGAACGCUGGCGGCAUGCCUAACACAUGCAAGUCGAACGAGACCUUCGGGUCUAGUGGCGCACGGGUGCGUAACGCGUGGGAACCUGCCCUUAGGUUCGGAAUAACUCCCCGAAAGGGGUGCUAAUACCGGAUAAUGUCUUCGGACCAAAGAUUUAUCGCCCUUGGAUGGGCCCGCGUUGGAUUAGCUAGUUGGUAGGGUAAAAGCCUACCAAGGCGACGAUCCAUAGCUGGUCUGAGAGGAUGAUCAGCCACACUGGGACUGAGACACGGCCCAGACUCCUACGGGAGGCAGCAGUGGGGAAUAUUGGACAAUGGGCGAAAGCCUGAUCCAGCAAUGCCGCGUGAGUGAUGAAGGCCUUAGGGUUGUAAGGCUCUUUUACCCGGGAUGAUAAUGACAGUACCGGGAGAAUAAGCUCCGGCUAACUCCGUG